UCGACAAUGGCCGCGCGCAGCCAUCAUUCGGCUGCGCGUUAAUUCAAUACAAAUUUCGAGGAGGGAUCUGCUACGAAAGGCUGGAGGAGAGACGGAAGAAAUCGAGAUUGAGAGAGUACAGAAGGUUGGGGACAGCAACGUGUUACUUGUAAUGCCGUUACCGGCCCACCCUUUUUCGACUAACGACGUUAUAUUUUUUUUUCAUUAAUGAUGGUAUGGCGGUUUCUUUUUCCGGGGUAACGAGUAUAAUGUCACUUUUAUCGUUGCUUCGCACACACGUACAGGAUGUCAAUGUACAGAGCAGUAUACAACAGUUUGUCUAGACGUUUUCUCGCAGGCGCAUUUUUUCCGAGCAAAAACGUGAGAAAGUGUGUGUGUGUGUGUGUGUGCAAAGCGUUUUAUAAGGGUGUAUGCCGCCAAAGCCGUGCUGAAUUCGUCUUUGAGCGCGCGCCUAUCAGCGAAGCGAGUAGGCAACCCGUUAUACCGAUCUGUAUGUUGAUGCAAAACUCCGUAUAAUACAUAUGGGAGAGCGCAAGGGAAUCUUGAAGACAAAGGGUCUUUAAAACUUGGUGAAAAAAGAAGGAAAAUUUUGUAACGACUCGUUUAAUAACGAUAACCGUAACGAGUUAUUUUUCAAAAGUAACUUUCCAACCUUGACUUUGGAGAAGCUUGAGAGAGACGCUUGGUCCGUUUCUUUUUAAUUGGCUGUACAGUCAACCCUCCUAUAACGCGGUAUUCUCAGAACGCGGUUUCCAUAUAACGCGGAGCAGAAAUUGCGACAGCCCUCCUAUAACGCGGUACUCUCACAGCGCGAUUUCCAUUCAACAACGUCCCAUCAGUUCUUUCCGUGCACCCAAUGAAUGAUUUUAACCACUUGCGGUGGAAAGACGUGCUACGCACGUCGUAAUGUUUUUGUCGCAGAAUCGCCAACGACGUGGUAUACACGUCGUCAGGCAAUUGUCACAGAAACGACGUGCGUGGCACGUCGGCUGAGAUUGCUGGCACUGUUCGAGCGACAGCGAAGAAGCGCAAAAUCGCUCCGUGGCACUCAAACGGUUUAUUUGUGGUUUAUAAUUGGACAACAUUACACAAUACUAUUUGCAUGAUGUCAAACACAAAAGAAACAAGGAAAGGAUUAAAAAGAAAGUUUAUAUCUCUUGAAGAUAAAAUCCAAAUUUUAAAUCGUUUAGAAG
Molecule: long non-coding RNA, 1193 nt
Organism: Dinoponera quadriceps
Lineage: Eukaryota; Metazoa; Arthropoda; Insecta; Hymenoptera; Formicidae
Exons: 2
Source: RefSeq, a predicted model, not a curated record